This is a long non-coding RNA of Patella vulgata (common limpet), 698 nucleotides long. RefSeq lists it as uncharacterized. The transcript is spliced from 3 exons. Lineage: Eukaryota; Metazoa; Mollusca; Gastropoda; Patellidae. The record is from RefSeq and is a predicted model, not a curated record.
GAGCCAAAAGUUCCAAACAUCCAAAAUAAAGUGUGCAUUAGAGUGUACGAUAAAUAGUGAAUGUGUUUCGUUUUUCUAUGAUCUAACUUUAGGUAUAUGCUACCUUCAUGAACAAGUAUAUAACGAAGAUACAGCUAGCAUGGCGGCAAACACGGUCUACUAUACAUCAGCAUCAAAAGGGACAAGCCAAGCAGUGUCAACCGCGAUGGCAUCCGAGACACCACCACCAGGGACAACUACAUCACCAGAAGCAACCACCCCAUCCUUCAUUUGCCCCUCGCCUUAUAUCAUGGCCAGUGGAAUGUGUUUCCAUGUGAAUACAACUCUGGUAACUUGGCCAGAUGCUAGAGCAAGCUGCCAGAGUAAAGAUGGUGAUUUGAUUAUUAUAGACACUCAACAAAAACUGGACGAAAUUGCACUUCACAUAACAGCGGGACUUUACCAGAUUGGAAUUCACCACAUAGCCAAUAAUGGAAAUUUUGAAUUUGUCGAUGGACGAAACCAAAAUGAUGUGAGCUUUAAUGCAUGGGCAUUAACUGAACCGGAUUCUGGACCAGAUUCUUGCGGGCGACUAAAGGAUUGGAAAUGGGACGAUGGUCAAUGUGGUGGUUAUCCAAGGAAAUUUAUAUGCGAAAUCAAAUAAUUCAAUAAUAUACAUUUAAUUUUAAUACGAUGAGAUAUAUUCCUGUCUUUUUUGA